GGGAAACGACGCCAGGGCUGGGGCGAUGAGCCAUCCCAAGCCCUGGCAAGCAUAGGCUCA
This is a non-coding RNA of Callithrix jacchus (white-tufted-ear marmoset), 60 nucleotides long. The record is from Rfam. NCBI's taxonomy places the organism in Eukaryota, Metazoa, Chordata, Mammalia, Primates, Cebidae.